GACGAACGCUGGCGGCGUGCUUAACACAUGCAAGUCGAACGGAAAGGCCCUGCUUUUGUGGGGUGCUCGAGUGGCGAACGGGUGAGUAACACGUGAGUAACCUGCCCUUGACUUUGGGAUAACUUCAGGAAACUGGGGCUAAUACCGGAUAGGAGCUCCUGCUGCAUGGUGGGGGUUGGAAAGUUUCGGCGGUUGGGGAUGGACUCGCGGCUUAUCAGCUUGUUGGUGGGGUAGUGGCUUACCAAGGCUUUGACGGGUAGCCGGCCUGAGAGGGUGACCGGCCACAUUGGGACUGAGAUACGGCCCAGACUCCUACGGGAGGCAGCAGUGGGGAAUAUUGCACAAUGGGCGGAGGCCUGAUGCAGCAACGCCGCGUGCGGGAUGACGGCCUUCGGGUUGUAAACCGCUUUCGCCUGUGACGAAGCGUGAGUGACGGUAAGGGGUAAAGAAGCACCGGCUAACUACGUG
RNAcentral lists this ribosomal RNA (468 nucleotides) under uncultured bacterium. Its description in RNAcentral is "partial 16S ribosomal RNA". It matches the Rfam family "Bacterial small subunit ribosomal RNA", at positions 28 to 507 of the family's 1533-position model. The record is from RNAcentral.